This 1389-nucleotide long non-coding RNA is filed under the name Pandoravirus salinus. RNAcentral's name for it is "putative ncRNA". The record is from RNAcentral.
GUCGUUGGCGCGACAUUGCGCGACGCCGCGUGGUCUCUCGAACCGGCGCACGAGACGGCCCCCGUCGGUGUGCAGACCCGCGUCAAUUCUGCGCACCCAAGAUUUAUCGGCAGGGCAUUUAUGCGUCGACGGCUUUUUCUUUUCGUGCAUUGCCUGUGCGGUGGCGCUUUGGGCGAGACGGAAAAAAAAGCCACCAGAGCCCGCGGCGCCCUAAGCGAUUCCGUGGCAACGGCAAAGGAAAGGCGGACGCGCAAGCAAUGGGGGCGGAGGCGAUAGAGGCCGCAAAAAAGGACCGCAUGAUCAAUCGCGAGCGCUUCCUUUUUUUUACUUUUUUUUUUCCCUAUCGACAAGAUGCUUUUGUUUGGCGUCAAAUGUGCACGGCACGCACGAGGACACGAUCGCCCCGAUGGAGCACUCCGUAGUGAGCGGCAAAGAGAAACACGGUGAUGAUGCCGUCUUCGUAAUGCCGUCGGUAGACCACCACGAGCGCCCUCUUGUUGCAGCACAAUCGCGCCAAAGAGUCGACCAUCGACGACUGGGCAUAGUCGAGUGUGGUGCCGAUGACCGCAAGGAGGGCGCGGCCCAUUUCGGCAGCAUCGCGCCCGCAGCCGUCAACGAUGGUUGCACCGACGUCGGCGUUGAUGGCGAGUGGCACGCACUGGUCGGGAUCGAAAAACCACACCACCGUCCCGCAGCGCAUCGCGUGCAUCAGGGCGGGAUCGUACGGACCGCCGUCGUCGACGACUGCCAGUGGAUCGCGAUCCGUCACCUUGAGGCGGGCGACGUCGACGGCGCUCAGGGUCCGGUCAUCACCGCUGCCGCCGUAUAGUGCCACGCGCCGAUGCGCGCUGCGGGUCACCGCCGGCCAUAGGUGGCUCACAAAUGCCACGAGGUCGUGCGCGUCGCGCGACGCCGCGCUACGGCACACGCGCACCACGGGCGUGGAAGCAAACACGUCGAGAAGCAGACACCGCUCGAUCACAGAGCCCAAGUCGACAUCGCCGCGAAGGAACUCGACCCGAGUCCGGAGGGCGCUCUCGACAGUCUCGUCGGGGGCGGGCAUUACGGUCAGGCCAUGGCGCCGCGCGUACUCGACCCACCCGCGAUCGCCCCAUGCUGUUACAACCGCGCGAAAGAAGCGACACGACAGCGACACGGCGAGGCGGUCGCGCGUUGACGUCGAGACAACGUCACCCACGAUCGCCCACCAUAACUCGACGGGCACAAGUUGGGCCGGGCUGCUGUCGCCGCCGAUCUCGCCAAUCGCCCACGGCUGCAUCGACAUGUUUUCCUAUCGGCCCGCUGCUGCUGGUGUCUUGAUCUCGUGCCGGCCACGGCGGGCCUUGCUUUUGUAGUCCCUCCCUCUCAAAAAAAUUGGUGGUUUUCAUU